AUUUGGAGAUCGAAGAUUCCAUUGAAAGUUAAGAUCUUCAUGUGGUACCUUCGGAAGGGAGUGGUGCUAACCAAAGAUAACCUCGCUCGUCGCAACUGGCAUGGAAGCAAGAAGUGUGGCUUUUGUACUCAUGACGAGACAAUCAAACACCUCUUUUUCCAGUGCAAGUUUGCACGUUCUACGUGGUCAAUCAUCCAAAUAGCGUCUAAUCUUUAUCCGCCCACAGGUGUUGCCAAUAUUUUUGGUCACUAG
This 252-nucleotide ribosomal RNA is filed under the name Triticum aestivum (bread wheat). Its description in RNAcentral is "partial small subunit ribosomal RNA". The record is from RNAcentral. Lineage: Eukaryota; Viridiplantae; Streptophyta; Magnoliopsida; Poales; Poaceae.